GCGUGAACAAGCCAACGGGCAAGGGAAAGUGCUUCAAAUGCGGCAAGGUUGGGCAUUGGAAGAAAGAUUGUCCAGUGCUCAAGGCAAAGGGACAAGGGCUUCAAGCCAACAAGGGAGCUAGCAAGUGAUGAGAUCACCAUCUCCAUGGGCAAUGCGUCGAAGGUCGCAGCUGUUGCUAUUGGAGAUUUAUCUUUAUGUUUUGGUGAUGACAUUUUAGUUUUGAGAGAUAUUUUGUAUGUGCCGGAGUUUCGGCGGAACAUAAUUUCUGUUUCAAAAUUGUUUUUGAAUGGAUAUUCUGUUAUUUUUGAUA
This is a long non-coding RNA of Salvia miltiorrhiza (redroot sage), 310 nucleotides long. RefSeq lists it as uncharacterized. NCBI's taxonomy places the organism in Eukaryota, Viridiplantae, Streptophyta, Magnoliopsida, Lamiales, Lamiaceae. The transcript has 2 exons. The record is from RefSeq and is a predicted model, not a curated record.